UGUAGACUGGAAGUGACACAAUACGCGAUCGUUCGUGAAACGCGUUGCUCGUGCGCACAACUAAGUGAAAAGUUUAAUUAUCAAAUGUUUGUAAACGGUGUUCAGGCUAUCAGUUCACGUUUGGAAAACCUUAAUUUGGAUUAUCAAAGAACCAUGCAGCCGAUGUCCGAAAGACCGCCUGUGUGCCCCAAGACGCAGCUGCCUCAUUUCCAACUGACGCCAUCUGACGCCGGUCAGAAGAAAGAUGGAAGUCCACAGGCAACAGAAAACCCCUGGCUACUGAAACCUCAGCAUGAAAUACCAGCAACCCCACCACCUCAAACGAAGCAGACUGGAAACUUCUUCCAACAAAGAAUAGGAUAAAUCAUGAUCCGGCCUAAUAGAAAGAUGUUGAAAUAACUUUCUUAUGGCAAUGUGCCAUCUUGUCGGAACACGGACAAUCGUAUAAAAAUACUUUAUAGAAAGAAAAUACGUUGAACGUCAUAUGUGAAACGACAAGAUUAGUGGAAUACCAGGAAGACGGUUGACUGUACAGGUCCAAGCAGUUGUUAUUUAUGAAUAAAUUUAUGUUAAUAAAUAAGGUUUUGAAAAAGUUUGUAGACUAUAGUACUAUUUUAUUCUGUAGCUAACAGUUACUCGUGUAAAUAAUUAUUAAAAUUAAUGUAGAUGAUGUGAUAUUUUAAAGUUGUAGUAAGUCAUGUUUGCAAAACGUUUUAUUUCUUAAGUAUUGCAAACAGAAAGGAUUAAAAAUACUUAUACAAUAAACAAUAUUUAAAUAA
Molecule: long non-coding RNA, 779 nt
Organism: Papilio xuthus (Asian swallowtail)
Lineage: Eukaryota; Metazoa; Arthropoda; Insecta; Lepidoptera; Papilionidae
Exons: 2
Source: RefSeq, a predicted model, not a curated record